GAUGAACGCUGGCGGCGUGCCUAAUACUUGCAAGUCGAGCGAACGGACGAGAAGCUUGCUUCUCUGAUGUUAGCGGCGGACGGGUGAGUAACACGUGGAUAACCUACCUAUAAGACUGGGAUAACUUCGGGAAACCGGAGCUAAUACCGGAUGAUAUUUUGAACCGCAUGGUUCAAAAGUGAAAGACGGUCUUGCUGUCACUUAUAGAUGGAUCCGCGCUGCAUUAGCUAGUUGGUAAGGUAACGGCUUACCAAGGCAACGAUGCAUAGCCGACCUGAGAGGGGGAUCCGCCACACUUGAACUUAGACACGGUCCAGACUCCUACGGGAGGCAGCAGUAGGGAAUCUUCCGCAAUGGGCGAAAGCCUGACGGAGCAACGCCGCGUGAGUGAUGAAGGUCUUCGGAUCGUAAAACUCUGUUAUUAGGGAAGAACAUAUGUGUAAGUAACUGUGCACAUCUUGACGGUACCUAAUCAGAAAGCCACGGCUAACUACGUG
RNAcentral lists this ribosomal RNA (497 nucleotides) under uncultured bacterium. Its description in RNAcentral is "partial 16S ribosomal RNA". It matches the Rfam family "Bacterial small subunit ribosomal RNA", at positions 28 to 507 of the family's 1533-position model. The record is from RNAcentral.